This 497-nucleotide ribosomal RNA is filed under the name uncultured bacterium. RNAcentral's name for it is "partial 16S ribosomal RNA". It matches the Rfam family "Bacterial small subunit ribosomal RNA", at positions 28 to 507 of the family's 1533-position model. The record is from RNAcentral.
GAUGAACGCUGGCGGCGUGCCUAAUACAUGCAGGUCGAGCGAACGGACGAGAAGCUUGCUUCUCUGAUGUUAGCGGCGGACGGGUGAGUAACACGUGGAUAACCUACCUAUAAGACUGGGAUAACUUCGGGAAACCGUAGCUAAUACCGGAAAAUAUUUUGAACCGCAUGGUUCAAAAGUGAAAGACGGUCUUGCUGUCACUUAUAGAUGGAUCCGCGCUGCAUUAGCUAGUUGGUAAGGUAACGGCUUACCAAGGCAACGAUGCAUAGCCGACCUGAGAGGGUGAUCGGCCACACUGGAACUGAGACACGGUCCAGACUCCUACGGGAGGCAGCAGUAGGGAAUCUUCCGCAAUGGGCGAAAGCCUGACGGAGCAACGCCGCGUGAGUGAUGAAGGUCUUCGGAUCGUAAAACUCUGUUAUUAGGGAAGAACAUAUGUGUAAGUAACUGUGCACAUCUUGACGGUACCUAAUCAGAAAGCCACGGCUAACUACGUG